GUGAACUCCCAGAACACGCUAUAACUGUGCAGAGGUAGGUUACCGGCCUACCUGUAGACACCUCUCACCUGUACGCAGGUGAACUCCAGAACCAGACUUCCCUGUGGGAUUUAUAUACAGUGCAGUAAGAGGUGUGUUUCCUCAUCCCUCCAUCCAUCCCUAGACGAGUGUGUCAGAGCAGGUCAGGACUGUGAUCUACAGCACCUGAGUCAGACUCUUACAGGUGUUAAAUGCGCAGUGUGUCCUUUAAGAUCUACAGCACCUGAGUCAGACUCUUACAGGUGUUAAAUGCGCAGUGUGUCCUAUAAGAUCUACAGCACCUGAGUCAGACUCUUACAGGUGUUAAAUGCGCAGUGUGUCCUAUAAGAUCUACAGCACCUGAGUCAGACUCUUACAGGUGUUAAAUGCGCAGUGUGUCCUAUAAGAUCUACAGCACCUGAGUCAGACUCUUACAGGUGUUAAAUGCGCAGUGUGUCCUAUAAGAUCUACAGCACCUGAGUCAGACUCUUACAGGUGUUAAAUGCGCAGUGUGUCCUAUAAGAUCUACAGCACCUGAGUCAGACUCUUACAGGUGUUAAAUGCGCAGUGUGUCCUAUAAGAUCUACAGCACCUGAGUCAGACUCUUACAGGUGUUAAAUGCGCAGUGUGUCCUAUAAGAUCUACAGCACCUGAGUCAGACUCUUACAGGUGUUAAAUUGGCCGUGUGAGCUUUACUGGGCUACUGUAUGGCGAGUGUUUGCUUGAAUAGCUGGACACAGUGUGAACUGAAAUUUCACAAUAAAGACAUUUUAAAGCUCUUAAAUUUGUGUUUCCUUUAUUGGGUCCACAGUACAUGGCUGAAAUCCAACAAUGAUACAAAAAUGAAAAAAAAAAACCUGCUGCUUUUCUAGAG
Long non-coding RNA from Anguilla anguilla (European eel), 892 nucleotides. RefSeq lists it as uncharacterized. The record is from RefSeq and is a predicted model, not a curated record. The transcript has 2 exons. Lineage: Eukaryota; Metazoa; Chordata; Actinopteri; Anguilliformes; Anguillidae.